RNAcentral lists this unclassified non-coding RNA (364 nucleotides) under uncultured fungus. RNAcentral's name for it is "partial contains small subunit ribosomal RNA, internal transcribed spacer 1, and 5.8S ribosomal RNA". The stretch from base 1 to 73 matches the Rfam family "Eukaryotic small subunit ribosomal RNA", at positions 1759 to 1831 of the family's 1831-position model. The record is from RNAcentral. Lineage: Eukaryota; Fungi.
ACAAACUUGGUCAUUUAGAGGAAGUAAAAGUCGUAACAAGGUAACCGUAGGUGAACCUGCGGUUGGAUCAUUACUGAAGGUAAGGGGUGUGAACGGUCGUUCAACCUACUCCUGUGUGAACUGUUAUUACUUAUUUUGGUGGCCCACAAAACAUGUUGGAGCGUCUUUUUGUGGUUACUCACUAGGCUGAUGAGGUUUUGUGAAUAGCCGUGUAAGGACGCGACUUCGGGCCACCUAACUGCGUUAAAUUCCUUGUUUGAUGUAUUUUUUGUCUAUUUGUAAUUCGCGAAAGUGAAUGCCCAAUAAAACAAAAACAACUUUUGACAAUGGAUCUCUUGGCUCUUGCAUCGAUGAAGAACGCAGC